GGUGAACGCUGGCGGUAGGCCUAACACAUGCAAGUCGAACGGCAGCACAGUAAGAGCUUGCUCUUACGGGUGGCGAGUGGCGGACGGGUGAGGAAUACAUCGGAAUCUACUUUUUCGUGGGGGAUAACGUAGGGAAACUUACGCUAAUACCGCAUACGACCUACGGGUGAAAGCAGGGGAUCUUCGGACCUUGCGCGAUUGAAUGAGCCGAUGUCGGAUUAGCUAGUUGGCGGGGUAAAGGCCCACCAAGGCGACGAUCCGUAGCUGGUCUGAGAGGAUGAUCAGCCACACUGGAACUGAGACACGGUACAGACUCCUACGGGAGGAAGCAGUGGGGAAUAUUGGACAAUGGGCGCAAGCCUGAUCCAGCCAUACCGCGUGGGUGAAGAAGGCCUUCGGGUUGUAAAGCCCUUUUGUUGGGAAAGAAAAGCAGCAGGUUAAUACCCCGCUGUUCUGACGGUACCCAAAGAAUAAGCACCGGCUAACUUCGUG
This 492-nucleotide ribosomal RNA is filed under the name uncultured bacterium. RNAcentral's name for it is "partial 16S ribosomal RNA". It matches the Rfam family "Bacterial small subunit ribosomal RNA", at positions 28 to 507 of the family's 1533-position model. The record is from RNAcentral.